GCCAGGUGUGGUGGCUCACACCUGUAAUCCCAGUGCUUUGGGAGGCUGAGGCGGGUGGAUCACCUGAGGUUAGGAGUUCAAGACCAGCCUGGCCAACAUGGUGAAACCCCGUCUCUA
This 117-nucleotide non-coding RNA is filed under the name Chlorocebus sabaeus (green monkey). The record is from Rfam by way of RNAcentral. Lineage: Eukaryota; Metazoa; Chordata; Mammalia; Primates; Cercopithecidae.